UCAAGUAAUUAAGGGUGUUGGGUGGAUGGUUAGGCUCUCAGAGGCGAUGAAGGACGUGCUAAGCUGCGAAAAGCCGGGGGAAGAUGCACCGAAUCUAUGAUCCCCGGGUGUCCGAAUGGGGCAACCCAGUAGAGUGAACCUCUAUUAUCCUCCCUUAAAAGAGGAAGCCAACCUGGUGAAUUGAAACAUCUUAGUAGCCAGAGGAAAAGAAAUCGAAGAGAUUCCGCCAGUAGCGGCGAGCGAAAACGGAAGAGGCCAAACCAGGGAGCUUGCUCCCUGGGGUUGUAGGACUGCAUUUAGGAUUCAAUGACGUGAGCAGAACUACCUGGAAAGGUAGGCCAGAGACGGUGAUAGCCCCGUACGCGAAACGAAGUUGACCGAGCAGUAUCCUGAGUAACGCAAGACUCGUGAAAUCCUGCGUGAAUCUGGGGCGACCAUGCUCUAAGCCUAAAUACUCCUGAGAGACCGAUAGUGCACAAGUAGCGCGAGCGAAAACUGAAAAGUACCCCUGACGGGGAGUGAAAUAGUCCCUGAAACCCAACACUUACAAGCAGUCAUAGGCCUAUGUCGCAAGACAGGCUGGUGGCGUGCCUUUUGCAUAAUGAUCCUGCGACUUACCGUCGGCUGCAAGCCUAAGGCCUUACGGGCUGGAGGCGUAGCGAAAGCGAGUGUGAAUAGCGCGUUGAGUAGUCGGCGGUAGACCCGAAACCUAGUGAUCUAGCCAUGAGCAGGUUGAAGCGAGGGUAACACCUCGUGGAGGACCGAACAGGUAUACCUUGAGAAGUGUUCUGAUGACUUGUGGCUAGGGGUAAAAGGUCAAUCAAACUAGGAGAUAUCUGGUUCUCCUCGAAAUAUAUAUAGGUAUAGGCUCGGAGGGUAGUUGUAAGGGGUAGAGCACUGAAUGGACUAGGGGCCUUACCGGGUUACCAAAUCCAAUCAAACUCCGAAUACUUACAGCGUAGACUCCGGGGCUCAGACAGUGGGGUCGAAUCUUCAUUGUCAAAAGGGAAAGAGCCCAGACCAACAGCUAAGGUCCCAAAAUAACGCUCAGUGGUAAAGGAAGUCUUUGUGCUAUGACAGCUGGGACGUUGGCUUAGAAGCAGCCAUCAUUUAAAGAGUGCGUAACAGCUUACUGGUCGAAUGGCGUUCUGCGCCGAUAAUGUAUGGGGGCUCAAGCCAGCCACCGAAGCGUCGGACUAGUCGUAAGACUAGUGGUAGAGGAGCGUUGCCGUCGGAACGAAGCCAUAGCGGAAGCAGUGGUGGACUGGCGGCAAGUGAGGAUGCGGACAUAAGUAGCGCUAAGACAGGUGAGAAUCCUGUCCACCGAAAGCCUCAGGGUUCUUCAGGAAGGCUCGUCCUCUGAAGUUUAGUCGGGCCUAAGGCGAGGCCGAACGGCGUAGCCGAUGGACAACAGGUUGAUAUUCCUGUACCAGUGUGUUCAGUGAUGGAGGGACGCGGUCCCAGUCCUCAGCGCGACUGUUGGUAGUGCGCGUGAAGCUCUUACGGAGGUCCGAUAGUAAAAUACGCGGACAUAAUCUGAGAGAGUGAACGAGUGGAUCCUUCGGGUGAAGCGAAGUGGGGGGGCGGAUCGCCGAGAAAAUCUUCUAAACUUAUGGGCAUACUGUCCGUACCGCAAACCGACACAGGUAGGCAGGUAGAGUAUACCAAGGUGUUCGAGAGAACUCUCGUUAAGGAACUAGGCAAAUUGACCCCGUAACUUAGGGAGAAGGGGUACCACCGCAAGGUGGUCGCAGUGACAAGCAUCGAGCGACUGUUUAACAAAAACACAGGUCUCUGCUAAGGGGAAACCCUAGGUAUAGGGGCUGACACCUGCCCAAUGCCAGAAGGUUAACAGGAGGGGUUCGGCGCAAGCCAAAGCUCUGAAUUGAAGCCCUGGUGAAUGGCGGCGGUAACUAUAACCGUCCUAAGGUAGCGAAAUUCCUAGCCGGGUAAGUUCCGGCCUGCACGAAAGGUGUAACGACUUGAUGACUGUCUCAACGAGAGACUCGGUGAAAUUGUAGCACCGGUGAAGAUGCCGGUUACCCGCAACUGGACGAAAAGACCCCGUGGAGCUUUACUACACCCUGUUAUUGUGUUUUGAUAUAGUUU
RNAcentral lists this ribosomal RNA (2109 nucleotides) under metagenomes. Its description in RNAcentral is "bacterial LSU rRNA". It matches the Rfam family "Bacterial large subunit ribosomal RNA", at positions 3 to 2135 of the family's 2925-position model. The record is from RNAcentral.